AGAGUUUGAUCCUGGCUCAGGAUGAACGCUGGCGGCGUGCCUAAUACAUGCAAGUCGAGCGAACGGACGAGAAGCUUGCUUCUCUGAUGUUAGCGGCGGACGGGUGAGUAACACGUGGAUAACCUACCUAUAAGACUGGGAUAACUUCGGGAAACCGGAGCUAGUACCGGAUAAUAUUUUGAACCGCAUGGUUCAAAAGUGAAAGACGGUCUUGCUGUCACUUAUAGAUGGAUCCGCGCUGCAUUAGCUAGUUGGUAAGGUAACGGCUUACCAAGGCAACGAUGCAUAGCCGACCUGAGAGGGUGAUCGGCCACACUGGAACUGAGACACGGUCCAGACUCCUACGGGAGGCAGCAGUAGGGAAUCUUCCGCAAUGGGCGAAAGCCUGACGGAGCAACGCCGCGUGAGUGAUGAAGGUCUUCGGAUCGUAAAACUCUGUUAUUAGGGAAGAACAUAUGUGUAAGUAACUGUGCACAUCUUGACGGUACCUAAUCAGAAAGCCACGGCUAACUACGUGCCAGCAGCCGCGGUAAUACGUAGGUGGCAAGCGUUAUCCGGAAUUAUUGGGCGUAAAGCGCGCGUAGGCGGUUUUUUAAGUCUGAUGUGAAAGCCCACGGCUCAACCGUGGAGGGUCAUUGGAAACUGGAAAACUUGAGUGCAGAAGAGGAAAGUGGAAUUCCAUGUGUAGCGGUGAAAUGCGCAGAGAUAUGGAGGAACACCAGUGGCGAAGGCGACUUUCUGGUCUGUAACUGACGCUGAUGUGCGAAAGCGUGGGGAUCAAACAGGAUUAGAUACCCUGGUAGUCCACGCCGUAAACGAUGAGUGCUAAGUGUUAGGGGGUUUCCGCCCCUUAGUGCUGCAGCUAACGCAUUAAGCACUCCGCCUGGGGAGUACGACCGCAAGGUUGAAACUCAAAGGAAUUGACGGGGACCCGCACAAGCGGUGGAGCAUGUGGUUUAAUUCGAAGCAACGCGAAGAACCUUACCAAAUCUUGACAUCCUUUGACAACUCUAGAGAUAGAGCCUUCCCCUUCGGGGGACAAAGUGACAGGUGGUGCAUGGUUGUCGUCAGCUCGUGUCGUGAGAUGUUGGGUUAAGUCCCGCAACGAGCGCAACCCUUAAGCUUAGUUGCCAUCAUUAAGUUGGGCACUCUAAGUUGACUGCCGGUGACAAACCGGAGGAAGGUGGGGAUGACGUCAAAUCAUCAUGCCCCUUAUGAUUUGGGCUACACACGUGCUACAAUGGACAAUACAAAGGGUAGCGAAACCGCGAGGUCAAGCAAAUCCCAUAAAGUUGUUCUCAGUUCGGAUUGUAGUCUGCAACUCGACUACAUGAAGCUGGAAUCGCUAGUAAUCGUAGAUCAGCAUGCUACGGUGAAUACGUUCCCGGGUCUUGUACACACCGC
This 1404-nucleotide ribosomal RNA is filed under the name uncultured microorganism. RNAcentral's name for it is "16S ribosomal RNA". It matches the Rfam family "Bacterial small subunit ribosomal RNA". The record is from RNAcentral.